CCCAGGGCGAGCCUGGAGAAUCAAAAUAUAAAGGAAACAGUAAAGAUCCUCAAUUGGUUUUGGCAUUUGUACUUUGUGUUCUUCGCAGAAUCCUUUGAUGGGUUUUAUUCCAUAGUUCUUCCAUUUUAGUUUGGCUUUUUCUUUGGUGAGUUUUGGUGUUUUUGUUGGGGGUAUUUCUGCAAUGUUGAGAGGGACUUUUGCAUUUUUAGUGUUUCUCUUAUGUAACAUGACUUUUCUUGCUUGUGUUAUGGCAUGAUUCUUCAUUGUGCUGUUUUCUUGGCAUUUUUUGUGCAUUUUUGGCUUUUUUUCGUGAAAUCAGUUUAUAAUUUUUUUAUUUUUUAUUUUUUACUUCUAGUUUGUCUUCUGCAGUUUUGCAAAUAAUAUAGAUUUUUUAAUUUUUCACAUUUGUUUUCAUUUGGGUUUUUUUGGGGUGGAGCUUUUCUGCUGGAAUUCUAGAAGGGAGGGUUUACUACUAUUUGUACUUCAUUUUCUGCAUUUUGGAACUUAUAUUUCUCAUUGCAUUUUCCUUUCCUGUUUAAAGAUAUUAGAAAUCUUUUCCCCUUUUAGUUAUAUAUAUAUAAUAUAUAUAUAUGGAUUUGAUUUAGCAUUUAAUAGUAUUUUUCAUUAUUUGACAGAUUUGGUGGUGGUUUGGGGCAUCUUUAGCAUGUUUUCAGCAUUUUGAUUGUUUUCUUCUUUGACAUUUGCUGUCAUUUUUGAGGAAUUUACCUGUGGAUUUGCAACUUCUUUAUAUUGUUUUGGUGGGGUUUUGGUAUUGGUUUUUUUUCAUUUUUUAUGUGUUACUUUUACCAUUUCAGGGUAUAUUUCAUCAAUCUCGGCUAUUUUUUGUCAGUUUUUUUUACCUGCCAUGUCUUUGCCAUCUUGGCAGUGCAGAUGAUAAUUAUUUGGGGGACAGUGCUGAAGGCCCUUGUGAGGCAGCACUGUGGGGCCACUUCUCUGGGACUGGCCAACACCCCUUCUGCAGUUCAGCCUUUGGAGAGAGGAACUAAAACCAAUUGUCAUUCAAAUCACCACACUGUUACCAUUGUGACUGAGAAGGGAAUUACUGGCAAACCAUUGUUUGAACCCUAUAAAACCUGCUAA
Molecule: long non-coding RNA, 1101 nt
Filed under: Parus major (Great Tit)
Lineage: Eukaryota; Metazoa; Chordata; Aves; Passeriformes; Paridae
Description: lncRNA (ENSPMJG00000011449.1)
Source: RNAcentral